CCCGUCCAUUUCCAUUUCCCUGCGCCCGGGGGAGGGCACCGCUCUGGACAGAGGCCGGGGAGCUGCGGGUCUGAGCACCGGUGGGAACAGCCGUCCCGUUGGCCAUCUGUGGGGUUGUCGAAGCCGGGAGGGAGAAAAACUCGAAAAUCACGUGGAACAAACUCUGAACACGCAUAGAGAUGUGUAUGCUGGCGAGUGCAGUCUCAUCUACCAUAGCUCUUGUGAAUCCUACGCAUGCUGACGCAGCUACCCACCUGAACUACUACAGUUAUAUUUUUUUCAACGGCCGAUAAUUCAAUGUUUUUUCCUCGGUUUUUUUGGCCUGUCCUCACCCAGAAGAGAAUAAAAAGCAGAGAAUAAAAAGCAGUGAAUGUGUGAGGCGCCGUAUUACAGGUCCAGCGGUGCUCACUCUCGGCCCUGCCUUGCUGUCGCGGUCCUGUGAUCAGGGUGUUGGAAGCAUGUUGCUGCUCCUUGACCAGUCCGGUGAAGAGCACCCUGUCACGGACGUCCAAAGGGACUAACCGUGGGGAGCAGGAGAGCGGAAAAAGACCCAUAUGCGUAGCGG
This is a non-coding RNA of Lepisosteus oculatus (spotted gar), 565 nucleotides long. NCBI's taxonomy places the organism in Eukaryota, Metazoa, Chordata, Actinopteri, Semionotiformes, Lepisosteidae. The record is from RefSeq and is a predicted model, not a curated record.